Musa acuminata AAA Group (dessert banana) is the source of this 484-nucleotide long non-coding RNA. RefSeq lists it as uncharacterized. The transcript is spliced from 2 exons. NCBI's taxonomy places the organism in Eukaryota, Viridiplantae, Streptophyta, Magnoliopsida, Zingiberales, Musaceae. The record is from RefSeq and is a predicted model, not a curated record.
ACUCGACAGCUCGCCUCGUAACGUGUCAGGCCUUCUCCUAUUAUUACCAAACCGUACCCAUCGUUCCUCCCAACCGUAGGUAGCUCUUCUUCCCGUUCGUGGAUCGAAAUCUCCGUGGGAAGUCUCUCACUUCGGUCGAUGUCGACGACGCAGGAAAAGACCAGCGCCGGCGCCACACAGACUCCGCCCGCCGGAGGAGGAGGAGGAGGAGGGGUGAAGGAGACGAAAGUGGUGGAGACGACGGAUUACCGGACGUCGGCCGGGCAAGGACAGCAAGAGCAGAGGCCGGUGCAGGUGGUUCACGAGAACCCCACCGAAGGGAACGAUGCCCGGGGCAAAGCCGGCCAAAGAGAAUUAUAGUUCCCGAGGAGGCCAACACAUCGUGUACAUAUGUCCCGACCCGAUGCAAUAAUAUGAUGCGAUGGCUCUUUGCUUUGCGAUCGACGGAUGAAUUGAAUAUGAGAUCUUGACCUUUCUAUUUGUA